CCUACGGGAGGCAGCAGUGGGGAAUCUUGCGCAAUGGGCGAAAGCCUGACGCAGCCAUGCCGCGUGAAUGAUGAAGGUCUUAGGAUUGUAAAAUUCUUUCACCGGGGACGAUAAUGACGGUACCCGGAGAAGAAGCCCCGGCUAACUUCGUGCCAGCAGCCGCGGUAAUACGAAGGGGGCUAGCGUUGCUCGGAAUUACUGGGCGUAAAGGGAGCGUAGGCGGAUAGUUUAGUCAGAGGUGAAAGCCCAGGGCUCAACCUUGGAAUUGCCUUUGAUACUGGCUAUCUUGAGUGUGGGAGAGGUAUGUGGAACUCCGAGUGUAGAGGUGAAAUUCGUAGAUAUUCGGAAGAACACCAGUGGCGAAGGCGACAUACUGGCCCAUUACUGACGCUGAGGCUCGAAAGCGUGGGGAGCAAACAGGAUUAGAUACCCUGGUAGUCCACGCUGUAAACGAUGAGUGCUAGUUGUCGGCAGGCAUGCCUGUCGGUGACGCAGCUAACGCAUUAAGCACUCCGCCUGGGGAGUACGGUCGCAAGAUUAAAACUCAAAAUGAAUUGACGG
This 561-nucleotide ribosomal RNA is filed under the name uncultured bacterium. RNAcentral describes it as "bacterial SSU rRNA". It matches the Rfam family "Bacterial small subunit ribosomal RNA", at positions 338 to 916 of the family's 1533-position model. The record is from RNAcentral.